AAUAGAUACCCCGGUAGUCCACGCCGUAAACGAUGGAUGCUAGCUAUUGGGGGGAAUCGACCCCCUCCGAAGCGAAGCUAACGCGUUAAGCAUCCCGCCUGAGUAGUACGAGCGCAAGCUUAAAACUCAAAGGAAUUGACGGGGACCCGCACAAGCGGUGGAGCGUGUGGUUUAAUUCGAUGGUAAACAAAGAACCUUACCAAGGUUUGACAUCCCGGUAGCCGUUCUCCGAAAGGAGAAUUUCAUUUAGUUGGACCGGUGACAGGUGAUGCAUGGCCGUCGUCAGCUCGUGUCGUGAGAUGUUGGGUUAAGUCCCGCAACGAGCGCAACCCUUAUGAUUUAGUUGGAUUUUUCUAAACAGACUGCCCUGGUAACAGGGAGGAAGGAGGGGAUGAUGUCAGGUCAGUAUUUCCCUUACGGCCUUGGGCGACACACGCGCUACAAUGGCCGGUACAAUGGGCAGCUAAGCCGCGAGGUGGAGCAAAUCCCAUCAAAGCCGGUCCCAGUUCGGAUUGCAGGCUGAAACCCGCCUGCAUGAAGCCGGAAUCGCUAGUAACCG
RNAcentral lists this ribosomal RNA (559 nucleotides) under uncultured bacterium. RNAcentral's name for it is "bacterial SSU rRNA". It matches the Rfam family "Bacterial small subunit ribosomal RNA", at positions 777 to 1344 of the family's 1533-position model. The record is from RNAcentral.